RNAcentral lists this small RNA (109 nucleotides) under Marmota monax (woodchuck). The record is from RNAcentral. Lineage: Eukaryota; Metazoa; Chordata; Mammalia; Rodentia; Sciuridae.
GCCAGGUGUGGUGGUGCCCACCUGAAAUCCCAGCUAAUCAGGAGGCUGAGGCAGGAGGAUCACAAGUUUGAAGUUAGCCUGGGCAACUUAUAGUGAGAUUCUAUCUCAA